Molecule: ribosomal RNA, 461 nt
Filed under: Dichaetophora sp. WTS8 (Gao)
Lineage: Eukaryota; Metazoa; Arthropoda; Insecta; Diptera; Drosophilidae
Description: partial 28S ribosomal RNA
Rfam family: Eukaryotic large subunit ribosomal RNA
Source: RNAcentral
UUCGUGUGAACAGUGGUUGAUCACGAGUUAGUCGGUCCUAAGUUCAAGGCGAAAGCCGAAAAUUUUCAAGUAAUAAAAAUUGUAAUAUAUUUAUAUAGUUGUAAUAAAACACUUGAAUAAUUUUGAACGAAAGGGAAUACGGUUCCAAUUCCGUAACCUGUUGAGUAUCCGUUUGUUAUUAAAUAUGGGCCUUGUGCUCAUCCUGGCAACAGGAACGACCAUAAAGAAGCCGUCGAGAGAUAUCGGAAGAGUUUUCUUUUCUGUUUUAUAGCCGUACUACCAUGGAAGUCUUUCGCAGAGAGAUAUGGUAGAUGGGCUAGAAGAGCAUGACAUAUACUGUUGUGUCGAUAUUUUCUCCUCGGACCUUGAAAAUUUAUGGUGGGGAUACGCAAACUUCUCAACAGGCCGUACCAAUAUCCGCAGCUGGUCUCCAAGGUGAAGAGUCUCUAGUCGAUAGAAUA